CGGCCGCCAUGGCGGCCGCGGGAAUUCGAUUCGGCCGCCAUGGCGGCCGCGGGAAUUCGAUUGUGAACUCAAUGGACUGACCAAUUCCUUUUUGGGUUUUGGGUGGGAAGUUGCGUAAAUAGAGCCCUCUAAAGGAUGCAAAAGUCGUAACACGGUUUCCGUAGGUGAACCUGCGGAAGGAUCAUUC
This 187-nucleotide ribosomal RNA is filed under the name Eimeria canadensis. Its description in RNAcentral is "partial 18S rRNA". It matches the Rfam family "Eukaryotic small subunit ribosomal RNA". The record is from RNAcentral. Lineage: Eukaryota; Apicomplexa; Conoidasida; Eucoccidiorida; Eimeriidae.